Pseudonaja textilis is the source of this 204-nucleotide non-coding RNA. The record is from RefSeq and is a predicted model, not a curated record. Lineage: Eukaryota; Metazoa; Chordata; Lepidosauria; Squamata; Elapidae.
CCCCACAGUCAUGAGAGGCCAGGAGAUGCAUGCCUCGAUGUGAAUGAUAUUGAGUUGGCCACACCCAGCCAAUAACCUGACCACCAAGCCAUGUCCACCCAGUCACAUGACUACCAGCCACACCUAUCACCUAAGCCACGCCAACAGAAUCGGUUGUUAAAAAAAUUGAAUCCCACCCCUGAUUAUAAUUUGUAUGACAGAUAG